RNAcentral lists this long non-coding RNA (2738 nucleotides) under Panax ginseng (ginseng). RNAcentral describes it as "long non-coding RNA (PGIN_LNC002463)". The record is from RNAcentral. Lineage: Eukaryota; Viridiplantae; Streptophyta; Magnoliopsida; Apiales; Araliaceae.
GAGAAUUUUUACGUGGUUCAGCCCCUAUCCUCUUGUCCAGUAGCCUAAUCCACGUCCAAUCCCAACUAGGAUUGGAGACUCACUUUAUUAGAAUAAUACUCAACAAUUACAAAGUAAAUAAAACUCCAUGUUACAACGACAAUCGAUUGGACACCUCUGCCCCCUUUGCAUCUCUGCAACACCUCUCACUUCUGAGACUUUGAUAACUUCGUUGAACAGACUGAGUAUUACUAAAAUAAAAACCCCAAGCCAAUCCUAGACUUGUACUACUAUGUUUACAAUAGAUAUUGAAAUAAAGAAUACAAGAACACUGUAAACCAAGACUAAAAGAAUGAAUAUCUCAGAUAGCUCUCUUGAAGUUUAUGUUCUGCAGUCUUGUAUUCCUUCAUGAAGCCGAAUAAAAAAUAUAGCAACGGCUAUGAUAAGUAACGUUCCAUUCAUCCAGCAACGGCUAAUUACUUUUAAAUAGGAGAUGAACAACAGCCUCAGAAGAUAAGAGAAGUAGUCAAAUAAAAUAUAAAGACUAGCUGAAAGAGUCCUUGUUGAAUGUUAACAAGUUUCCUUCAAAACAACAACUGCUGUUAGCAAGACUCCAAAAAAUAAUUGUUGUUCCAUUUUGAAUAAGAGUCCUUAAAUAUACCAAUUCCUAAAAAAAAUAUUAAAGACACGUAAAUUGGUAACUCACUAUUUAACAGAUAAUAUCUAUAUCUAUAUAGGAAGAAUAUAACCCAACAAAUAAGGAAUUAAAACAGAUUAGAUAUAAAAUCCAGCUUGCACAUACCUGUUAAAAAAUCCAAUACCUGAUUUUCAAUUUCCUUAAUCAACUCCAAUUCACAUUAGAAUUAGUCUUCAAAACAGGUUUAGUUAAUCAUAUAAAUAUUAUAUUCCAAAGACUUUGAAUCACGUGACAACCUGCAGUAUCCUUUCAUGCAAUAACCCAUGCAAACUAUUUAACAUGACUAAAUAAAAUUAUAAGCCAAUAUAAAAACAAUUUAACCCAUAUAAACAUUGUCAUCAUUAAAACCACAGAGUAUAAAUACUAACAUUUUUCACUCCGCCGUCUUUUCUCCUAUCCGUCCUUAAAAACAUGAACUGAAUACUACGUUUCCGAAACUUGAUUCUAAGUGGAAAAAUUUAAGAUCUAGUUUAAAAGCUUUAUCUCUAAGUGCUUGCAAGUUAUACGAGUAUCUUUGGAGUUCUCCGACAUUAACAACUUUACACUCAACUGCAAUAACUUUUCUGGGAGAGAGAUUUUAGUUUUGACAAUUUUCCCCAUUUGAAGAAUAUCUAUUUAUGUGCGUUGAAAAUGUAAUAUGAUAUGGAGGCUUUCAAUUUUACUUUACCUAAUCUCACACACCUCACCAUAUCUGAGUAUUAUUGGGGAAAGUCCUUUCACUUGUAAGUUUUUAGUCUUAGCACCUACACUCUCAUAUUUUGACUACAAAGGUAAUUUCUCUAAUAUUGUUGUCUGCUAAGGAUGGUUUCCCAUGUUUAGAGAAAGUUGAUAUUGAUAUCCCACAUAUCAAUAAAAAAUUUUAGAGAUAUGUGACCCACGAUCUGUAAACAUAUACACAAGGGUAUAAUAUGUGGGUAAAUCGUGAGUAUAAUAGAAAGUGGAUUUUGGGCUCCAAUAAUUUUAAACAAAAGCCAAACUAGCUAGCUGUAACAGUCACGACAACGCAGCGAGCUUGUUUCCCAGCUGAACCAUAACUAACAUGCCCACUUUGCACAUUAUUUUCCCCCAAUUUAUGAAUCCAAUUACAACAAAUUGUGAUAUGUUAUAAUUAGUAUAUCAACCUAUUAAAAAAAUACUAACCAAAACAACCACUUUAAACAAGCUUAACAAGUUUCCAAAGUUACCUGGUUGCCACUGAUUUACCAACACAGUCAUUUCAUUCAUAAGACGUUAAACAGCCCCAAACUUAAUAUUAAUUUGUUUAACCUUCUUCAGUUCUUAUAAAAAAAACAGAUAUAAAAAUUUAUAAUUCAUAAAUUGGACCAAAAUUCUUUUAUUUCUGCUAAGAGCCUCUAAGAAACCUUUUAUCAAACAUAACAUAGGCAUUUAUUUUUGGGGCACAGAUCAUACAUGUUCACACGUGUAAAUCUAAAUUUUCUUUCUUCCAAUACUCCUCACGACAACUAAACUCCCUUUUUUCUAAUUUAUAGUUAUCACAAUUCAAAUCACAGUUCAAUUUUUCAUUUAACACUAUUUUAGCCCAUAUUCGCAUAUACAUAUUCCAUUACUGAAAUUGUAGAAUAAUCUCAUAACUUACCUCCUUAUUUGUUUUUUUAAUUCAAAUUCCUUGAUGUCAAAGCCCUGAAAUCCUCCUUUGAAGACCAAUUGAUUGUAGUACUUCUGUCCCUUCAAUUUGAUUUACGUAAAUUUGAUGAUUACAUCGGAGCCUAAGAAGAUUUCGGCACAAGCUUUGAAGUGUAGUUUCGAAACCAAAAAAGAAAGAAGAAGGAAUCUAUCUUAGCUUGGUAAUAAUUUUUUUUAAGUGAACAAGAGAUGGAAUGGAGCAGAGCAUAGAGGACUGGUAAUACUCAUGGGAGAAAGGUUCAAAAAUGACCCUGAUUUUUAUUGUAAUGUCUAUUGAGCAUUCUAUAUUUUUUUUGUUCAAAAAUAUCCUUAACGUUAUAUUUUUUGAGUCAAUCUUAACCGAGUCAAUGUAAUUACUUACUUAAACUAAGCCACCUCCUGAUCCCAAAAUGAUACGCCUAAUUUUUUUUAUUUUUUU